CCCUUAGAUGUUCUGGGCUGCACGCGCGCGACAAUGACGUUUGCAACGAGAUACGAGACCGAAAGGUUAAGUUGAUCUAGCAAGCUGCGUCGUGAUAGGGACUGUCGAUUGCAAUUAUUCGACACGAACGAGGAAUUCCUUGUAAUCGCACAUCAUCAGUGUGCGCUGAAUACGUCCCUGCCCUUUGUACACACCGCCCGUCGCUCCUACCGAUCGAGUGAUCCGGUGAAUGUUUUGGAUCGGUUGCAAGUUGCGCGACGCGCUUCUUGCAUGCUGUGAAAUCAUGUAAGCCUUAUUGCUUAGAGGAAGGAGAAGUCGUAACA
Molecule: ribosomal RNA, 323 nt
Filed under: uncultured eukaryote
Lineage: Eukaryota
Description: partial 18S ribosomal RNA
Rfam family: Eukaryotic small subunit ribosomal RNA
Source: RNAcentral